AUGGUUUAGAUUUACAAUUUGGUCCACUGGAAAAUGUUUUUUUAAAUUAAUUUUUCAUUUGUAAUUAAUUGCUAAUUUUAAUUGUUUGACCAAUGGAUGGCGCUACCAUCGUAUUCAAUAUUCAAACCUUAAAUUGGCGUAAACGUGCAUUAAACAAAACGAUGCCAAAGUAAAAGGCGACAUCUGUGGAUCAAGUUUUUAUAUUUUGGACAGAGUUGUUCGUUCUGGAGUAAUAAAUUGGGUGAUUCAAUACAUCUAUGGGUAGCUAUAACAUUUUUUUCAUACCUGCUAACUAUUGGAGGGGGUAUAUUGACAGGCAAUUUAAAAUUGCAAAAGGUCUGGCAUAAAAAAAUAGCGGCAUAACUGAAGUGUUGAUAAAAAAUUUGAGAUAUACAGAAAUCUUUUCGAAGCAUUGCACAGAGCAAUGCAAUACUUAUUUAAACGGGAACGAUGAAUACAUAUGUAUAUGCGUACAAUUUCAAACUGAUCCUUCCUGAAAAAUAAUAAAAUUGCUAAAUAUUGGGAAUGGUAGAAUAGAACUGCAAUCAAAUACACAAUGCAAUGAAUUUAAACUGGCUCAUUUAUCAUUCGAUGAAUAAUAUACUACGGGCAUCCCAAAAGACUGAUGCCAUAACCUUGCCAGCCGAUUUUUUUGUCUUUCCACGCUUGAGAACCGUUUCUUAAUAUGCAGUCCACCAGGCUGACAAUCGAUUGGACUCGAUUGAUUUCACUGACGCAAAGCCCGAAUUCAAUAGUAUUUUUACCCCAAAAACCAAUUCUUUCUUAACGCACGAAAUGCUUUUUGAUUCAUUUUUGUUGCUUCAUCAAAAAUCCGAUUAUUCCUGAACUAAUACUUAUAAUCUAACUAAUAGAAAUCAUAUAGAUGAUAUUAGUAGUACUAUCUAUGUAUGUAUCAGCCACAGUAAAACGUAAGCGGGUCCUCUAGUUUUAUUAUAAAAGUGUUCGUAAAAAUAAUUAAAUUUUCAGUGUAAAUAUUUUAAUAAAUAUUUUAAUAAGGCAAUAGAAUAUUGAUUGGAACUUUUUUUAGGUAAAACAGUAUUUAUUUUCAGUUUAGGUUGGUAAAAAACAGGUACGCAAUUUCGUGUUAUUACCGUUUCUAUUCGUUUGCAAAAUAAUAAUAUUUUCAUAUACGUAUUUUACUUUAGUUCUAGGUAUCAAAAAAUCCACACUUUUAAUUUAUUGACCUUCUACGUCCUAACGUAAGUACUUGAAUACACCCUAAUACGUGGACUUGUCUGUACUGUAUGUACUUGUGUUUUGUGCAAUUGAGAACUCAUUGAAGAGACCAACGCGCUUUUUGUAUGCAAUCCUGCUUGUUUUUGUUUGCCAAAGAGCAAGGGGUAUUGCCGGAUAGUUGCCAAAAUGGACUUUGAAUACGUGCGUUCACAGUUUUGUUUACCAGCGAUUUGAUUAUUGUUUUUAAUUAAAAUUAAGAAAUUUUUUUUUCACUUUACCGCUGUAUCGUAAGUGAAUUUUACAAUUACUUUGAUUUUUUUUAUGUACAUCUUUAUACAUAUAUAUGUAUAUAAAUCUUCUGACCAUGUGUUUGCAUUUGAACUGCUCCUAAACGGAUGGACAGAUUUUGAUGAAAUUUUGUGUGUAUGUUCAAGGAGAUUCGAGAAUGGUUUAGAUUUACAAUUUGGUCCACUGGAAAAUGUUUUUUUAAAUUAAUUUUUCAUUUGUAAUUAAUUGCUAAUUUUAAUUGUUUGACCAAUGGAUGGCGCUACCAUCGCAGUAUUCAAUAUUCAAACCUUAAAUUGGCGUAAACGUGCAUUAAACAAAACGAUCCCAAAGUAAAAGGCGACAUAUUGUGGACAGAGUUGUUCGUUCUUAAGUAAUAAAUUGGGUCAUUCAAUACAUCUAUGGGUAGCUAUAAUAUUUUUUUCAUACCUGCUAACUAUUGGAGGGGGUAUCUUGACAGGCAAUUUACAAUUGCAAAAGGUCUGGCAUAAAAAAUAGCGGCAUAACUGAAAUGUUGAUAAAAAGGUCUAUUAAAAUUUGAGAUAUACAGAAAUCUUUUCGAAGCAUUGCACAGAGCAAUGCAAUAUUUAAACGGGAACGAUGAAUACAUAUAUGCGUACAAUUUCAAACUGAUCCUUCCUGAAAAAUAUUAAAAUUGCUAAAUAUUAGGAAUGGUAGAAUAGAACUGCAAUCAAACACACAAUGCAAUGAAUUAAAACUGGCUCAUUUAUCAUUCGAUGAAUAAUAUACCAUGGGCAUCACAAAACACUGAUGUCAUAACCUUGCCAGCCGAUUUUUUUGUCUUUUCACGCUUGAGAACCGUUUCUUAAUAUGCAGUCCACUAGGCUGACAAUCGAUUGCACUCGAUUGAUUUCACUGAUGCACAGCCCAAAUUCAAUAGUACUUUUACCCCAAAAACCAAUUCUUUCUUAACGCACGCAAUUCUUUAUGAUUAAUUGUUUUGUAAACUAACACAAGUUGCUUCACCAAAAAUGCGAUUAUUCCUUAAAUAAUAUUUAUAAUCUGACUAAUAGAAAUCAUAUAGAUGGUAUUAGUAGUACUACCUAUGUAACAGCCACAGUAAAACUUGGGCGGGUCCUCUAGUGUAUGUAUAUAUUUUUGGAAAACAAGGAAAUGUGUUUGCAUUAAGUAUAUAUGCAUAUAUGUACACCCAACUUUUUCUUUACACGGUAGAUACUUUCCUCAUAAAAGAGGCGUUUCGUAUAGUAAACGACGUUCCAUGCCGUGUACUAUAUAAAAGAAACUAUAUUUACUUCGAGAAACCGUGCAAAAAAUGUUGAAAACUAUAAAAUUUCAAAUGUGCAUACAAAUUGUAUGUUCUUAUGGGAUUUUAUUGAGCAUUAAAACUUAAAAUACAUAAUUCAUAAAGGUGAAAAAUUUGUCGAUUAAGCAAAAAACAAAAGAAGUCUGUUAAUCCAGAAUUAAGAACAGAAGAAUUAAAAUGGAAAUGAAAAAAUAUUUACAUAGCUACAUAAUUAUAAAAACAAACAUAACUACAAGACAUUGAUUUUGAAACCAUAUUAGAUUACAUAUUUUUUACAAAUUUUUUUUUUCAACCGUGUAAAAAAAAACCUGUAAAAUGUAAUAAUAACAAUAGCAAUUGUUUGCGACGAACUGGACUAAAAUCGGAAUCAUCGUUGGAGAUAUCCAUUUCAGCAAUGUACACUGACCAAAGUUUUGGCACGGUGGGUUUUGGUUUCUUGAGUUCUCCAUAGAUCCGUUAAUAUAAAAGGAAGGUUCAAAUAAUGUACUAGUUAUUUACUCAUCUUUAUGUUAUCUAUCACUGUGCUUAAUUUCAUUUAUGUGCCACCAACAGCCUCGGAUGAGAGACCCCCCUUUUGAUGACGACAGUGGCAAACGAAUUAAGGACUAUGAUUUGAGGGCAUGCACCUGGAAUGUCCGGUCCCUUAAUUGGGAAGGUGCCGCUGCCCAGCUGGUAGAUGUCGUCGUAAAGAUAAAAGCUGACAUCACCGCCGUCCAAGAAAUGCGAUGGACGGGACAAGGAUAGAGACGAGUAGGUCCUUGUGACAUUUACUACAGUGGCCAUAUAAAGGACCGCAAGUUUGGUGUUGGAUUCGUGGUGGGAGAGAGAGACUCCGUCGCCGAGUACUAUCAUUUACUCCGGAGAAUGAACGUCGAGCCACAAUCCGCAUCAAAGCGAGGUUCUUCAACAUAUCGCUGAUUUGCGCCCACGCCCCGACGGAAGAGAAGGACGAUGUGACCAAAGAUGCCUUUUAUGAGUGCUUGGAGCGCACUUAUGAGAGAUGCCCCGCCACGAUGUCAAAAUCGUGCUUGGCAAAUUCAACGCCAGGGUGGGCAAAGAAGGUAUCUUUGGCACUACGGUCGGUAAAUUCAGCCUCCACGACGAAACAUUCCCAAAUGGGUUGAGGCUGAUCGACUUCGCCGGGACCCGAAAUAUGGAUCUGUAGUACUAGAUUCCAGCACAAGAAAAUGCAUCAAGCUACCUGGCUGUCUCCGGAUCGAAAAACAACCAACCAGAUCGAUCAUGUUGUGAUAGACGGAAGACACGUCUCCAGUGUUUUAGAUGUGCGUGCGCUCCGAGGUCCUAACAUCGACUCGGACCACUAUAUUGUUGCAGUCAAAAUUCGCACCCGCCUCUGUGCAGCAAAAAACGCACGCCAACAAACACGAGGAAGGUUCGACGUCGAGAAGCUGCAAUCAGAACAGACAGCUGAACGAUUUUCUACUCGGCUUGCACUCCUGCUCUCUGAGAGCACUCGUCAACAACUCGGUAUAAGGGAACUGUGGGACGGCAUUUCAAACUCCUUACGUACAGCUGCAACCGAAACCAUUGGUUUUCGGAAAGUGCAAAAGAACAGCUGGUACGACGAGGAGUGCCGUGUCGCAGCGGAGAGAAAACAGGCUGCCUACCUCGCAACGUUACGAUCGACCACAAACGUGCGGGAUGGAAUGGAUACCGAGAGUUGAAGAGGGAAGCGAGACGCAUUUGUAGACAGAAAAAGAAAGAGGCCGAAAUGCGUGAGAACGAAAAGCUUGAUAAAUUACUUAAAUUAUGGGGGGAAAACUUCUCCAGCCUGCUGAAUGGCAGUGAACGCACAACACCAGGAGAAGGCGAACCGAUACCCCAUGCGAUGACGAUGGAGCAGACGUUCCAUUGCCCGACCAUGAAGAAGUUCGAAUAGCAAUUGCCCGCCUGAAAAACAACAAAGCGGCAGGGGCCGAUGGAUUGCCGGCCGAGCUAUUCAAACAUGCAUCAGCUUCUUUGCAAAAUAUGGUCGGACGAAAGUAUGCCCAACGAUUGGAAUUUAAGCGUGCUAUGCCCAAUCCAUAAAAAAGGAGGCCCCAUAAUCUGCGCUAACUACCGUGGGAUAAGCCUCCUCAACAUCGCGUACAAGGUUCUAUCGAACGUAUUGUGUGAAAGAUUAAAGCCCACCGUCAACAAACUUAUUGGACCUUAUCAGUGUGGCUUCAGACCUGGUAAAUCAACAACGACUCCCUAUCGUGCGACUUCUUCAAUCUGCUGCUGGAGAAAAUUAUUCGAGCUGCAGAACUUAAUCGAGCAGGUACAAUCUUUUAUAAGAGUGUACAGCUGCUGGCGUAUGCCGAUGAUAUUGAUAUCAUCGGCCACAACACCCCCGUCGUUGUGAAAGCAACGCAAAUGGGUCUGGCAGUGAACGAGGGCAAGACGAAAUAUCUCCUGUCAUCAAACAAACAGUCCUCGCACUCGCGACUUGGCUCCCACGUCACUGUUGACAGUCAUAACUUUGAAGUUGUAGAUAAUUUCGUCUAUCUUGGAACCAGCGUAAACACCACCAACAAUGUCAGCCUGGAAAUCCAACGCAGGAUAAAUCUUGCCAACACGUGCUACUUCGGACUGAGUAGGUAAUUGAAAAGUAAAGUCCUCUCUCGACGAACAAAAGCCAAACUCAUAAUUCCCGUCCUGCUAUAUGGUGCAGAGGCUUGGACGAUGACAAAAUCUGAUGAGUCGACGUUGCGAAAGAUUUAUGGUCCUUUGCGCGUUGGCCACGGCGAAUAUCGCAUUCGAUGGAACGAUGAGCUGUACGAGAUAUGCGACGACAUUGACAUAGUUCAGAGAAUUAAAAGACAUCGGCUACGCUGGCUAGGUCAUGUUGUCCGGAUGGAUGAAAACACUCCAGCUCUGAAAGUAUUCGACGCAGUACCCGCCGCGGGAAGCAGAGGAAGAGGAAGACCUCCACUCCGUUGGAAGGACCAAGUGGAGAAGGACCUGGCCUCGCUUGGAGUAUCCAAUUGGCGCCAUGUAGCGAAGAGAAGAACCGACUAGCGCGCUGUUGUUGACUCGGCUAUAAUCGCGUAAGCAGUGUCUACGCCAGUAAAGAAGAAGAAGAAGAAUGCUUGUGGUUGUUUUGUUACAAUAAUUUAAAUAAAAAAUGAAUAUAUUUCAGAGGACAAAAGUUUUGGCACUGCUAGAAUUCUCGGAAAUAAUUCCAUUGAUUUUGCUUAAAAAAGAAAAAACUGAUAACAACAAGAGACCGCAUGAUGGUGUACCACAUAAUAGAAACCGUUAACUUUUUAAGUGAAAUAUAGUAUUGUGUAGCGUGCAUAAAUUACUACAAUUCAGUAAAAUGAGUGGCAGGCGAGCGGAAAUGACAGCAGAGGAGAGAAAAAUUAUUUGAAAUCUUCAAUCCGCCAACAAAGGCUAUGCAGAAAUUGGUGAAAUAAUGAAGUUAACUCGUUUUUCCAUUCGGAGCAUAAUCAAGCGUUUUAAAGAUGCCCGUUGUCUCCAGAGUUGCGAUCGUUCAGGGCGUCCACGCAAAUUUUGUUGUAGAGAGGAGGCAUUUGUGGUACGUCAAAUAAAAAAAAAAUCCCAAACUGACUUCAAUAAAGAUUGCUGCUGACCUCCAGAAAGAAUUUAAUAACGUGUACAAAUCCAGAAUAGCUCAAAAAAACCACUAUCAGCAAGGCUAACAAAAAAGCGUUUACAAUUUGUUAAAGAGUAUAAAAUAAAAAAACUGGAUUUCUGAUACAAAAUUAUUGUUCACAGACGAAAGUAAAUUUAACAUUUCCAAAGCGACGGUCGGAUACGGGUAUGGCUAAAGGGAAAUACUGCAUUUGACAAAAGCAAUGUUGGUAAUACCGUAAAGCAUGGAGGUGGAGGAGUCAUGGUUUGGAGAUGUAUGGCAGCGUCAGGCGUUGGGAACGUAGUAUUUGUUGAUGGAGUAAUGGAAAAACUUUAUAUAUGAACAUAUUGAAAGAAAAUUUGCAAGAAAGUGUAGAAAAGCUGAAUCUUGGGAAUCAGUUCUAUUUUCAGCAAGAUAAUAAUCCCAAACAUACAGCUUAUGAUGUUCGUAUGUGGAUCAUUCAUCACGUUCCCCACGUUCUUGCAACUACUCCUCAAUCACCGGACUUAAAUCCAAUUGAGUAUUUAUGGGAUGAACUUGGACGAAGGGUUGAGAAGAAUACAGUAACAAGUAAAAGCCAAUUAAAAGAGGUACUGCAGCACGAAUGGACUAACAUUGGAUCUGAGGUGACAAGUAAAUUGGUUCACUCCAUGCCAAAUCGUUGAAAGGACGUUAUUAAAAUGAGAGGUUUGAAUACCCGUUAUUAAAUUAGCAUUUUUUCCCAUGUUUUAAUAUAAACAAGGUCUGUCGCAAAAGAAACAGGACUGUUAAAAAACAACAAAAAAUUAAUAUUUUUCAAAAGUUAUAUUUUUUUAUUCAAAGUAGUUUCCUUGUGCUUCGAUACAGCGUUUAGCCCGGUCAAUUAGCAUUUGAAAUCAGUGUUUAAGGUCAUUUUUCGGAAUGCUCUUGAGAAUAUCGGUGGUCGCCUUUUGGAUAGCUGAAAUGUCCUGAAACCAGUGUCCUUUCAUGGGCAAAUAAAGUUUUCCAAAUAGGUAAAAAUCACAGGGUGCCAGAUCAGGUGAGUAGGGUGAGUGAUUAAUGGUUAAUAUGGAGUUUCCUUUUGUCAAAAAUCAGUGACAAGCGUCGACUGAUGACACGGCGCAUUAUCGUGCAACAGGCGCCAGGACCCUGCCUCACGGUAUUGUGGUCGAGCACGACGAAUGCAUGACAAAAGACGCUUCAUAACACCAAGGUAAAACACAGCAUUAAUCGUUUGGCCAGGUGGGACGAACUCUCGGUGUACAAUACCCUCGGAAUCGUAAAAACAAAUCAGCAUUGUUUUUAUUUUUGGCUUCUGAAGCCGACUUUUUUCGGUGAUGGCUUUCGUCCUCUCUCUCUGGGAAUCGCUUAAACCACUCAUGCACAUUACUACGGGAUAGGCACUGAUCACCAUAAACUUUUUUCAGCAUUUGAAAUGUUUCAGUAAACGUUUUCCCAAGUUUAAAACAAAAUUUAAUAUUUGCUCUUUGUUCUUUAUUGUAACAAAACAACCAUAGAUACAUCAUAAAUGAAAUCAAGUGUAGUGAUAGAUAACAUAAAGGCGAGUAUAUUAUUACUACAAUAUUUGAACCUACCUUUUAAAUUUACGGAACUACAGAGCACUGAAGAAACCAGUAUCAGCUGUGCCAAAACUUUUGUCCGUCAGUGUAAAUAUCAUGCGAACAAAAUGUGUAUGUAGCGUAGACACCGCUUACGCGAUUAUAGCCGAGUCGACAACAGCGGCUGAUUGUUGGUUUUCAUUGGGGGUGUUUUUUUACGUGGCGGGUCCCAAACCCAGCGCAACAUGGCGGGUCCCAAACCCAACGCAAAGUUACAGUUACUGUAUGUUCAUUUCAGCAAUGGUGGUAGGUAUGUAAGAACAAACAUAAUUACAAGACAGUGAUUUUGAAACCCGACUAGAUUAAAUUUUUUUUACAAAAAAUUUUUUUUUUCAAGCAUGUAAAAAAAUAGUUGGUUGUAUAUUUUGUUUGCUUUUAAAAAUAUAAUUCCAAUACUUCUUUUCUCAAACUUUGUAUGCAGUCCUGGUUAAGGUAGGCUAUCAAAAUUAAUUUAUUUAGGUAUGUAUGGCAUACACAUAUGUACAUAUACAUAUGCAUGUGUCGGAGUAAAGUUGUCUUCGAUAGACAUUGUUGUAGCACAGCGAGUUCUGCGUCGUUUUCUUCUUUUUGUGCUUACCACCGAACCACACUUAACGAUAGCGACGCCACGCUGUCGUCCCGCUAAAACGGUACUUCUUGAAGUGACAACAUGCAGACAACCAAUCACAGCACAAUCAACGACUGAUGCAAUAAUAAGGAACUUAGUCUUCUAAUGAAAUUCCUAAAACUGUAUACCCAUACACUCAUACACGCACAUCAACAUCCACACACUAUUAGGGUGCGCCCACACGGCCAUCCUGACCAUUACACGACUUCGUGCAAUUUUACCAAAAAUGCUAUGUUACUAUUCAAUCAACUUAUAAAAGUUUAUUCAAAUGUAACUUCCAAUUUUUCAUCUAAUCUUAUAAUUUGCAUUGACAAAUUACAUCUUCAUAUUUCUGUUUCCUUCUUAAGUAAUACAAAAUAUUUUUCUUUAACACAGCUCAUUUUCACAUUAUCAUUAACCACACAUGUUUUACAUUAUAAUAUCCAAUGCGCUGUACACCAUGAUCAAAACAAUUGUUUUGCACUUGUGCCCACAUUAUUAUUACUAACAUCAUUUUAAGCCCUUAAGGCAACUGUACUGUCUUUUUGAACUUUCAACUUUCUUUAUUACUGUCUCUUUCAACAGUUUCUUUCAACUUCUACAUUACUGUCACAUAAUCAAUUCAUUACUGAAUCAAAUGCGCCACACGCCAUGAUCAAAACAGCCACACGCCAUGAUCAAAACAACCAUUAGUAGCACUUGUGCUUACAUUAUGAUCUGAGUACUCCGCCAUUUUCUUUGGCUACAGCCAUUCAUAUAUUUUGUCAUUUUUAUUCGUUCACUUCACUCUCAUUAGUGAUUUCAACAUUCUCAACAUCUUCAUUCUCAUUUUCUUCAGUAACUUCAACACCCUCAAUACUUUCAUUUUCGUCUCUUCACCGCACCGCAACGGAUUCUCUACUUGCAACACCAUCCUCAUCAUCAUCAUCAUACACAUUCAGUUUCUCGGGCACUUGUGCCUCUAGCAACCUUCUCAAAUCUUCGCGUGCAUAUCCACAACUUAUCCCAUUGGUCAAGGAUUCCGAAAUGUACAUGCCACUUUCUGAAACCUUUACUAUUUCAAAAGACCCCUUGAAUUUCAGACUUAACUUGGUCUGAUGUCUUUCUUCACCUUCAAACAACACAAAAUCUCCAACUUUAUAUCCAACUACUUUUGUCUUACCUUUACCAAACCGCCUUUCAACACAAACUGCAGUGGCUAAAGCAUUCUUUGCAGCUUGCACUCCCACGUUUGGCAGAUCAACAACAUUUUCUAUGUCGCCAUUCGGAAGCAAUCCUAAUGGACGUGCCACCUUUUCCAAUAACAUUUCUAAAGGUUUCGCCCUCGCAAUACGGUUGGUUGUACAAUUGAUUGCCAACCGCACCUCUCCCAACACAUCCCGCCAAGACCGUGCUCCAGUUUCAGCCGCCAUUAGCAUAUCCCCCAACGUGUUCAAGACUGUAAUUAAUAUUGAACUGGGAGAACUUAGAACCGCACUGGCCAACGUGCUACACUGAGUGAUUAUCACUGUUUUAUCAUUCAUUCACUUGUCUUUUAUAGAACACUUUUAUUGCACUUUUAUUAAGCUUUUUCUAUGCCAACACACAUCAUUUAUUGAACCACUUUAUUUCCUCUUUAUUUUACUUAACCUACUCUUUUCUCACAUAUUUUAUAACUUUCUACACCUUCGCCGUGAGCGCUUUCUUUUUCACUUUGCAUGAACUUUAAAAUAUUAUUUACCGCAUAACUAUUUCACUGUUAAUACUCGAAGCAGUUUCACUCUAUCACCCGUCCGUCUGUCCAACCACACACUUCUCACAAAUGCAACUCUGACAAAAGUAACCACACACAUUACCUUUUCCAAAUUACCUUUCAAUGCACAACCAAAACAACACUAUUUGCAUGAUCGCAUCGCAAGACAGCUCCGGCAUUUUCUCAACUCGCUCCAAUUACUUGCAACAAGCCAUCUUGAAACGCUUCCAUCUGCAUCGUGUAUCUCUUUACAUUUCAGUGCCCUUCAAUACACCCUCCUACAAAACAACCUCAACAGUAGUACACCACGACGAAGCGCUGGCGCCUGCUUUGUCUGGGCCGACUUUGGGAUGUUGCACAGACCUGCUCCGCCCCGCAUCAGGCACAGCCAGAUCCAUGGCCCGCACAAGUUCAAUCAAUUUUCCACUCUGCAACUCCAUCAUUGGUACGCCAUGGUCCAUCCAAUGUUUGAGGCAGAUAGGCAGAUUCCACUUCUGAUGUCGGAGUAAAGUUGUCUUCGAUAAACUUUGUUGUAGCGCAGCGAGUUUCGGUUGCUUACGUUUUGCUUAGUUCUAUACUCAACUGAUUUUGCGACGUUUUCUUCUUUUUGUGCUUACCACCGAACCACACUCGACGAUAGCGACGCCACGCUGUCGCCUCGCUAAAACGGUACUUCUUGAAGUGACAACAUGCAGACAACCAAUCACAGCAUAAUCAACGGCUGAUGCAAUUAUAAGGACCUUAGUCUUGUAAUGAAAUUCCAAAAACUGUAUACCCAUACACUCAUACACGCGCACCAACAUCCACACACUAUUAGGGUGCGCGGACACAUGUAUAAUAUAAUACUUGUUUCAAUAAUGAUUCUAUUUUUUGUAAUACAACCGUGGAAUAUUAAAGUUUGGGUAUUUUUCCAAAACCGUAACAUAAAAACUACGUACAUACUCGUAGGUGCAUAUAUAUAAAAUUAUUACUAUCAUUUUGAUAUUUGGGUCUCAGUAUGGUUAUUAUAAAUGCUGAUGAUUCGCUGACAGCUUUCCAUUUAUCAGACAACUGACACAUGAGUGUCGUUAAAUUAUCGAAAGUAAAACUACCACUGUACAAGAAUUGUAUUAAAAAAGCACGUCUGUAUUUUAUAAUCGUCUAUCACUAAAUAGGCCGCUUCUUUAUUGAAUACCUCCUUAAAUAUACAUUUGGUUAACGGAUUGUAGCAUCACGCCAUAUGAUACAUAUGUGCAUACAUAUAUAUGAAUGUCUAUAGUUUACAUAUUUGAUUUACAUUUACAUUCGCUAAGCUAGAGUGAAACUGCUAGUCUACGAAUACAAGGAAUAAAAGGAGGACACAAUCAUAUUGAUCAUUCAGCAUUCAGCAAUCAGCUGACUGGUAUCGGUUUGCGUCCUUACUAAUUAUGCGCAGGACUGCAUUUUACUGAACUUAAAUCUUGAACAACCACCAAAUGUGAUUUUUAGUUUUUCCCCUGUAUUCGAAAAUCGAGGGCAAUAAAAUAAUACAUAUUCAGAGUCUUAUAUAUACUCUGUACACGUCGGACAGUUCGGACUAGCUUCUAAAGCACACAUGUCCACUAAGUAUUUGGGUCAGAUUAAUCUUGGUGUCCAUGUCGUCUGGCUAUCCACAAGUGGAUGUCCGGUAUAAGUCGAUGGGUCCAGCGCCCUUUGGAUGAGGUAUUCCACCGCUCCUGCCACAUUUUAGUGCUCUUGUUUCCCUCCUCUGUCCUUGCCGAUACUGUUUUGGGCACUGAUUUGUGAUAAAAAUGCUCGAGUUCAUCUCCUUGGAUGUUAAUGGGUGGCAUGCUGGCUAAUAUUUUAGCAGCGUCGGUUGAUAUAGUCUGGAAAACACUUAUUACCCGAAUUGUAGAAAGCCUAUGCGCUGCAAUUAUUUGUUUAGCAAACGCUUUUAUAUCCACUGCCUGUACCCAUAAUAGUGCCGCAUACAGUAUUACGGAACUCAUUGCUUUCGCUAUUAAGAAUCGUUGGCUGGAACGCACACAGCCUCUGUGGGUCAUAAUUCUCGAUAAGACAUAGAUUUUGUUUGCUUAGCCGGAAGAAUACUCCAGGAGUUCUUUUAAUUUUAAUGUGGAAUCCAAUAUUACUCCCAGAUACUUCAGAUGCGGCUGUGAUGUAAUCUCGUA
Bactrocera dorsalis (oriental fruit fly) is the source of this 12428-nucleotide long non-coding RNA. RefSeq lists it as uncharacterized. The record is from RefSeq and is a predicted model, not a curated record. The transcript is spliced from 2 exons. NCBI's taxonomy places the organism in Eukaryota, Metazoa, Arthropoda, Insecta, Diptera, Tephritidae.